RNAcentral lists this long non-coding RNA (815 nucleotides) under Salmo salar (Atlantic salmon). RNAcentral describes it as "lncRNA (ENSSSAG00000098603.1)". Lineage: Eukaryota; Metazoa; Chordata; Actinopteri; Salmoniformes; Salmonidae. The record is from RNAcentral.
CUAAACAGAGGAGGUGAGCUGCUUCUCCCUGGGCCUGUCUAAACAGAGGAGGUGAGCUGCUUCUCCCUGGGCCUGUCUAAACAGAGGAGGUGAGCUGCUUCUCCCUGGGCCUGUCUAAACAGAGGAGGUGAGCUGCUUCUCCCUGGGCCUGUUUACAGGAGCAAUAGUCAGUCCACCACCAAAAGGCUUAGCAGGAGGCUGCCUGUUUACAGGUACAGUAGUCAGUCCACCACCAAAAGGCUUAGCAGGAGGCUGCCUGUUUACAGGUACAGUAGUCAGUCCACCACCAAAAGGCUUGGCAGGAGGCUGCCUGUUUACAGGUACAGUAGUCAGUCCACCACCAAUAGGCUUGGCAGGAGGCUGCCUGUUUACAGGUGCAGUAGUCAGUCCACCACCAAUAGGCUUGGCAGGAGGCUGCCUGUUUACAGGAACAGUAGUCAGUCCACCACCAAUAGGCUUGGCAGGAGGCUGCCUGUUUACAGGAGCAGUAGUCAGUCCACCACCAAUAGGCUUGGCAGGAGGCUGCCUGUUUACAGGAACAGUAGUCAGUCCACCACCAAUAGGCUUGGCAGGAGGCUGCCUGUUUACAGGAACAGUAGUCAGUCCACCACCAAUAGGCUUGGCAGGAGGCUGCCUGUUUACAGGUGCAGUAGUCAGUCUACCACCAAAAGGCUUGGCAGGAGGCUGCCUGUUUACAGGUGCAGUAGUCAGUCCACCACCAAUAGGCUUGGCAGGAGGCUGCCUGUUUACAGGAACAGUAGUCAGUCCACUUGCUUUGGCAAUGUUAACAUAUGUUUCCCAUGCCAAUAAAGCCC